CUACCUGAGGGUGCAGCUCUGGGAUGCCAGUUGGCCUCAGUCCCCAGCCCCUGCUCUGAACCAUCUGGCAGUUAUUCAUGGCAGGACAAGCAGGCCAAGGGGCACCAGCCUCUGGAAGUGGACCGUCCUUCUGGAGAAGAGGGCCUGGAGACCCACCCUGAGCUGCCGUCUCAGAGGAUGAGCCAUCAGACAUUGCCACAGGGAAGGGGUGGGAAGUGGUCAUCCUCGGGACUCCAAGCUGACUUUUUUGACCUCGUUAUGGAGAUGACGGGCUGGACUAACUGCGGGAUGGAGUGCUUGUGCAGACCAGAUCACGGAGGAUGGAAGCUGUGGUGUGAGUGACUCUGGCUCCUAGUGACAGCGCUGGAGGGACAGGACAGAGAGCUGCCCUCAGACCUCGGGGCGCCAUCCCCCGUGACCUCGCUGCCCCCUCCCUCUCCCCAGCGAGUGCAAACACAGCUGGUCACGGACUUUUGCUGCGGGAGGUGUUUUCCCCGAGCUGAUAGGAUCAACCUGUUCUUUACCUCAAACCUGUUUUUAAAAGGACUUUCCUGUUUUUUUUUUCUUUCUUUAAUUGCAG
RNAcentral lists this long non-coding RNA (580 nucleotides) under Equus asinus (donkey). Its description in RNAcentral is "lncRNA (ENSEASG00005027198.1)". Lineage: Eukaryota; Metazoa; Chordata; Mammalia; Perissodactyla; Equidae. The record is from RNAcentral.